Molecule: ribosomal RNA, 852 nt
Filed under: Nocardia sp. WGA07
Lineage: Bacteria; Bacillati; Actinomycetota; Actinomycetes; Mycobacteriales; Nocardiaceae
Description: bacterial SSU rRNA
Rfam family: Bacterial small subunit ribosomal RNA
Source: RNAcentral
GAGCCUGAUGCAGCGACGCCGCGUGCGGGAUGACGGCCUUCGGGUUGUAAACCGCUUUUGACAGGGACGAAGCGCAAGUGACUGUACCUGUAGAAUAAGGACCGGCCAACUACGUGCCAGCAGCCGCGGUAAUACGUAGGGUCCGAGCGUUGUCCGGAAUUACUGGGCGUAAAGAGCUUGUAGGCGGUUCGUCGCGUCGUUUGUGAAAACUUGGGGCUCAACCUUAAGCUUGCAGGCGAUACGGGCGGACUAGAGUACUUCAGGGGAGACUGGAAUUCCUGGUGUAGCGGUGAAAUGCGCAGAUAUCAGGAGGAACACCGGUGGCGAAGGCGGGUCUCUGGGAAGUAACUGACGCUGAGAAGCGAAAGCAUGGGUAGCAAACAGGAUUAGAUACCCUGGUAGUCCAUGCCGUAAACGGUGGGUACUAGGUGUGGGGCUCCUUCCACGGACUCCGUGCCGUAGCUAACGCAUUAAGUACCCCGCCUGGGGAGUACGGCCGCAAGGCUAAAACUCAAAGAAAUUGACGGGGGCCCGCACAAGCGGCGGAGCAUGUGGAUUAAUUCGAUGCAACGCGAAGAACCUUACCUGGGUUUGACAUACACCGGAAACCUGCAGAGAUGUAGGCCCCCUUGUGGUCGGUGUACAGGUGGUGCAUGGCUGUCGUCAGCUCGUGUCGUGAGAUGUUGGGUUAAGUCCCGCAACGAGCGCAACCCUUAUCUUAUGUUGCCAGCGCGUAAUGGCGGGGACUCGUGAGAGACUGCCGGGGUCAACUCGGAGGAAGGUGGGGACGACGUCAAGUCAUCAUGCCCCUUAUGUCCAGGGCUUCACACAUGAUACAAUGGCCGGUACAGA